RNAcentral lists this ribosomal RNA (429 nucleotides) under Chloroflexota bacterium. RNAcentral describes it as "Chloroflexi bacterium partial 16S ribosomal RNA". It matches the Rfam family "Bacterial small subunit ribosomal RNA", at positions 355 to 776 of the family's 1533-position model. Lineage: Bacteria; Bacillati; Chloroflexota. The record is from RNAcentral.
UGGGGUAUAUUGCACAAUGGGCGCAAGCCUGAUGCAGCCAUGCCGCGUGUGUGAAGAAGGCCUUCGGGUUGUAAAGCACUUUCAGCGGGGAGGAAGGCGAUAAGGUUAAUAACCUUGUCGAUUGACGUUACCCGCAUAAGAAGCACCGUCUAACUCCGUGCCAGCAGCCGCGGUAAUACGGAGGGUGCAAGCGUUAAUCGGAAUUACUUGGCGUAAAGCGCACGCAGGCGGUCUGUCAAGUCGGAUGUGAAAUCCCCGGGCUUAACCUAGGAACUGCAUUCGAAACUGGCAGGCUAGAGUCUUGUAGAGGGGGGUAGAAUUCCAGGUGUAGCGGUGAAAUGCGUAGAGAUCUGGAGGAAUACCGGUGGCGAAGGCGGCCCCCUGGACAAAGACUGACGCUCAGGUGCGAAAACGUGGGGAGCAAACAGG